This 832-nucleotide small RNA is filed under the name uncultured Frankiaceae bacterium. Its description in RNAcentral is "bacterial SSU rRNA". The stretch from base 1 to 472 matches the Rfam family "Bacterial small subunit ribosomal RNA", at positions 1064 to 1533 of the family's 1533-position model. The record is from RNAcentral. Lineage: Bacteria; Bacillati; Actinomycetota; Actinomycetes; Frankiales; Frankiaceae.
GCCGUGAGGUGUUGCCUUAAGUGGCGCAACGAGCGCAACCCCUGUCCUUAGUUGCCAGCGGGUAAUGCCGGGAACUCUAGGGAGACUGCCGGUGCCAAACCGGAGGAAGGUGGGGAUGACGUCAAGUCAUCAUGCCCCUUAUGUCCAGGGCUGCACACAUGCUACAAUGCGCGAUACAGAGGGCUGCGAUCCCGCAAGGGGGAGCGAAUCCCAAAAAGUCGCGCUCAGUUCGGAUCGGGGUCUGCAACUCGACCCCGUGAAGUCGGAGUCGCUAGUAAUCGCAGAUCAGCAAUGCUGCGGUGAAUACGUUCCCGGGCCUUGUACACACCGCCCGUCACACCACGAAAGUGGGUAACACCCGAAGCCGGUGGCCUAACCCUUGUGGAAGGAGCCGUCGAAGGUGGGAUCCGCGAUUGGGGUGAAGUCGUAACAAGGUAGCCGUACCGGAAGGUGCGGCUGGAUCACCUCCUUUCUAAGGAGCCAUUUGGCACUUCCGGGGAGUCCGGCGUCUGUUCGGGCUCCAGCUUCCGGAGGCUCUUAUGGUCGGUGCACUGGCUAUUCUUUUGACACCCAUCUUCCGAUCACGUCUAGUAGUCCCUUUCGAGGGGCGAACGGGUGAGCCGGCCUGAUGGGCAUGUCGUCAGGACACACUGUUCAGCUUUGAGGGUGCGAACCCUCGUCGGACCUUGAGAACUCGAUAGCGAGCGCGAGCAUCUACAGUCAAGUUACAAAGGGCUUACGGUGGAUGCCUUGGCGUCAGGAGCCGAUGAGGGACGCGUCAGGCUGCGAAAAGCCUCGGGGAGCUGCCGAGAGAGCUGAGAUCCGAGGAUGU